This is a non-coding RNA of Microcebus murinus (gray mouse lemur), 532 nucleotides long. NCBI's taxonomy places the organism in Eukaryota, Metazoa, Chordata, Mammalia, Primates, Cheirogaleidae. The record is from RefSeq and is a predicted model, not a curated record.
UGACCUUUUUGGGAAAACAGAUGAGUCUUUCAGAGGCACUGAUUUCUUUUGGGCUUCUGCCCUUAGAUGAUGGAAGAGGAAGAUGGCUGUGUAGUAGCUGGUGGAGAAGAUGGCAAGGCUUAAGAUGGAGAAGACAGCCUGGUUUCUUACUUCUUUCUAACCUCAUGGACUGUAUAUAAAUCGUAUGGGGAGGAAGGGUGCAAGAAAAUCUGAAGAAGGUAAGGAGAAGUGAAUGCCAUAGGAAGAGAAUAAAGAGGAUAUGAUAUAAGGAAGAUUUCUGUUUUACGAUAAAGGAAUGGAAAGUCAUCUGAAUUCUGAGGGGAUCCUGAAUUUCUCAUCUAUCUGGAUUCUGGAGAUGGGAACUACGGAGAGAACUGGCGGACCAGAAGAAGUCUGAGGCUGGGAUGAGAAAGCCACAGAUUACUUCAAACUGUAGGCUAUGGAAAAAAUGACAGAAUGCAUCCUAGGGGCUAGCACGGUGUCUAAAGAACCAGGAAAGACCCUUAGCUAACAACUACCUGGGACAACCAGG